UUAACAAAGUCACUGAGCAUAAUGAGACUUAAUCCUUACGAGCAAAGGCUACUUCAAUAGAUUCAUAAAACUGAGCAGAACGAUUAGUUUUAGUACAAUUGUUAUCCCAUUGAUGACCAUAGAAGGAAACAGUACUGGAAGCU
Long non-coding RNA from Rhodamnia argentea, 143 nucleotides. RefSeq lists it as uncharacterized. The transcript has 3 exons. The record is from RefSeq and is a predicted model, not a curated record. NCBI's taxonomy places the organism in Eukaryota, Viridiplantae, Streptophyta, Magnoliopsida, Myrtales, Myrtaceae.